CAAAGGAGCAAUCCGCUGAAAGAUGGGCUCGCGUCCGAUUAGGUAGUUGGCGGGGCAACGGCCCACCAAGCCGACGAUCGGUAGCCGGACUGAGAGGUUGAACGGCCACAUUGGGACUGAGACACGGCCCAGACUCCUACGGGAGGCAGCAGUGAGGGAUAUUGGUCAAUGGGGGAAACCCUGAGCCAGCAACGCCGCGUGAGGGAAGACGGUUUUCGGAUUGUAAACCUCUGUCCUCUGUGAAGAUGAUGACGGUAGCAGAGGAGGAAGCUCCGGCUAACUACGUGCCAGCAGCCGCGGUAAUACGUAGGGAGCAAGCGUUGUCCGGAUUUACUGGGUGUAAAGGGUGCGUAGGCGGCUUUGCAAGUCAGAAGUGAAAUCCAUGGGCUUAACCCAUGAACUGCUUUUGAAACUGCAGAGCUUGAGUGGAGUAGAGGUAGGCGGAAUUCCCGGUGUAGCGGUGAAAUGCGUAGAGAUCGGGAGGAACACCAGUGGCGAAGGCGGCCUGCUGGGCUCUAACUGACGCUGAGGCACGAAAGCGUGGGUAGCAAACAGGAUUAGAUACCCUGGUAGUCCACGCUGUAAACGAUGAUUACUAGGUGUGGGUGGACUGACCCCAUCC
Molecule: ribosomal RNA, 622 nt
Filed under: uncultured bacterium
Lineage: Bacteria
Description: bacterial SSU rRNA
Rfam family: Bacterial small subunit ribosomal RNA
Source: RNAcentral